UCUAUCUCGAGAACUUCUCUUCAGCCGCUCUCUCUCUUGUCUCGCCCUCUCAUUCUUCUCUUCGUCAAUCCUUUCAGUUUUCUCAUCGCCAUAGAGAAUUCGAGAUCCCCAAGGACUAGAUCGAUCAAGCUCACGAGGCUAAGGUCUCGGUUGGGUCAUGAAGACCAGAUCGAUGGCCAGGGAUCUGAGCGAGAUAGUGAAGGAGAUUCUCUCGGUUGGGUGCUAGGUCGAAGGCAAGGAUCUGUAGGAUUUUCAUCGUAGAUUAUCCAGGAGAUUACCGACGGCGAUGUUGAGGUGCUGUACCAAUCUUUAUAUUCGUCAAUGAUACAUCUUCUGCACCUUGGUAUCUCAAUGCCGAAAGACCUCUUGAAACAUCCAAGGAAAUGGAAAUCAGAUCCAGAUUGCUGUUGAAACUGAUGAUGUAUUCAAAAGUGCUUGCUGCUUAGCUUUUUCUAGACCAAGAUGGUUGGAAAACUUAUCAAAAUUGUCAGAUUCUUUUAUAUUGGUGGAAGCUGCUUUAGCAGAGCAUGAAAUUUCUGGGUAUGGAAUGCUAACUUUUGCUCUUACCAUCUGGCAGUACAAUUACAUAAUCAACUCAAGCUGCGGAACUUAUCAAUGGUUAAAUUUUCUCUCUAUCAACCGUUUUGAGAGGAAAAAGAAUAUAGACUUGGCGAUUUCAGCUUUUGCCAUGCUUCGCACCCUUGAAGGAGAUGUGCUUCAUGGUCUUAAUCUAGCUGAAGCUUCCUUGACAAUUGUAGGCAAGUUCCUACUUAUUUUUUGUCCAACUGAUCUUAUUGAUCGAGACCUCAUACUAGUAGAUAAAUAUUCAAAAGUAGGUUUUGCAGGGACGUGUAAUUAAUUACUAGGUGCUCAAUCACCAAGAAGUACGCUCUUACUUGAUUCUGUAAUUAAGCUUGCCCUUUAGGUUCAUUGGUGUCUUGAAUGAUUCAAGUAUUUUGCCAACAAGAAGAACAAUGCUUACUGUUCUUGAGAACUAAUGUGUCCAUGAAUAUUAGUUACUGACCAUGAACAAGGCACUUGAAUAUCAUUGCCUUUCUCUGA
Molecule: long non-coding RNA, 1062 nt
Organism: Rosa rugosa (rugosa rose)
Lineage: Eukaryota; Viridiplantae; Streptophyta; Magnoliopsida; Rosales; Rosaceae
Exons: 5
Source: RefSeq, a predicted model, not a curated record